AUUGAUCUAAACCCUAACUCCAUCUUCUUUCAUCACUGCCGCAUUUGAUAUAUUCUCUCCGAGAAGUGAAGAAAGCUUUCCGAUCAUCACCAAUUCAGAAUGAGAGCUAAGUGGAAGAAGAAGCGUAUGAGGAGGUUGAAGAGGAAGCGUCGAAAGAUGAGACAGAGAUCGAAGUAGAACUACAUUCUGCAGUUCUCAACGGUCUAUCUAUGCUUAUCGUCUUCUCUAGGCUUAUGCUGUUUAAGUUUUAGUUUGAAGUUUCAGUCACAUUUGAGUUGUGAUUUUGUUCUGAUUACACCGAAUUCAAAAUUUAGUAUUCGAUUUUGGCUAUGGAUUUAUGCUUCGUAUCUUUUUGCUCUA
This is a long non-coding RNA of Solanum tuberosum (potato), 360 nucleotides long. RefSeq lists it as uncharacterized. The record is from RefSeq and is a predicted model, not a curated record. NCBI's taxonomy places the organism in Eukaryota, Viridiplantae, Streptophyta, Magnoliopsida, Solanales, Solanaceae. The transcript has 2 exons.